GUGCUCAUUUUGCCAGCACAUAUGCUAAAAUUGAAAUAAUACAGAGAAGAUUCGUGUGGCUCCUGCAAAAGGGUGACAUGCAAAUUCAUGAAGCAUUUCAUAUUUUG
Molecule: small nuclear RNA, 107 nt
Organism: Heterocephalus glaber (naked mole-rat)
Lineage: Eukaryota; Metazoa; Chordata; Mammalia; Rodentia; Bathyergidae
Source: Ensembl